GCUUGUUGAACAAACGCCUCCAGACAAGAGUGCAUUGCCAUGGACAUCUGAUGGCCAGAGCUUAACCGCUGUGAUCUAAGGAGUGGCAGGACUCAGGAGGCAUGUUUUGGCUCAUGUUUUGCAAUGCUGUGCUGUGUGUCUCAGUUCCCAUUUAUAUUUUACUCUAUGAGACAGAUUUAAGCUAGAAGAGCUACUGACCCAACCUCCUAGAUUUGGACCACUGCUUUCUGGGAUGCUAUCUGUAUCUUUGAACACACUUCCUUGAAUGAACUAAACCUAGAUCUCCAUGGUCUUUCCAAAAGGAGAAAGAUUUCUUUACUUUCAAAUAAUGAGGGAUCAAUACUUUGCUCAGGGAAAGCAAAGGAAAAUAAGUAAGAUUAAAUUGAGUGGUAUAGGGUGCUUGGGCAAGAUUUCUGCCAUAUAUCUCUGGCCUCUGUCUUGAACUGCCACAAUAAACACCAUCACUGCCCUUAAUUAUAACAUGUAUAAAUUAAUGAAUCCUGCGAACAUGAAGAAUUGAGCCUUCUCACUUCCCUGCCUGAGCAAAAUGUGAAAUUCUUGAUGAAAUUAUCAAGAUAUCACUUAAGGUCAGUGUUAAUUAUAAUUAAUUUGCUAUGAAAUAACUUGGUAGACAAAAUUAUCCCUUCUUCCUACAACUUUUAUGAAAAUAAAAUGCUAUAUAUGCAUUGU
RNAcentral lists this long non-coding RNA (690 nucleotides) under Bos taurus (domestic cattle). RNAcentral describes it as "long non-coding RNA NONBTAT007673". Lineage: Eukaryota; Metazoa; Chordata; Mammalia; Artiodactyla; Bovidae. The record is from RNAcentral.